AGAGUUUGAUCCUGGCUCAGAACGAACGCUGGCGGCGUGGCUAAGACAUGCAAGUCGUACGGACCGCGGUAGCAAUAUUGCGGUUAGUGGCGAAGGGGUGAGUAAUGCAUGGGUAACGUACCCUGAACUCGGGGAUAACAGCGGGAGCAAUCCCUUUAGCGAAAGUGCUGCUAAUACCCGAUGAAGUCGCCGGGUCGCAUGACCGGGCGACCAAAGGUGGGGACCGCAAGGCCUGCCGGUUUGGGAGCGGCCCAUGUCCUAUCAGCUAGUUGGUGAGGUAACGGCUUACCAAGGCUAUGACGGGUAGCCGGACUGAGAGGUCGAUCGGCCACAUCGGGACUGAGACACUGCCCGGACACCUACGGGUGGCUGCAGUAACGAAUAUUGGGCAAUGGGCGCAAGCCUGACCCAGCGACGCCGCGUGCAGGAGGAAGUCCUUCGGGAUGUAAACUGCUGUCAGGGGCUAGCAAGCAAAGGGUGUUAACAGCAUCCGGCGUUGAGCCGCCCCAGAGGAAGCCUCGACUAACUCUGUGCCAGCAGUCGCGGUAAGACAGAGGAGGCAAGCGUUGUUCGGAAUCACUGGGCUUAAAGCGCGUGUAGGCGGCGGCGCAAGUGUCGUGUGAAAUCCCACGGCUCAACCGUGGAACUGCACGGCAAACUACGUCGCUUGAGGUUGGUAGAGGUGCCUGGAACUCUCGGUGGAGCGGUGAAAUGCGUUGAUAUCGAGAGGAACGCCGGAAGCGAAAGCGAGGCACUGGGCCGAUUCUGACGCUGAGACGCGAAAGCGUGGGGAGCAAACAGGAUUAGAUACCCUGGUAGUCCACGCUGUAAACGAUGC
RNAcentral lists this ribosomal RNA (838 nucleotides) under uncultured bacterium. RNAcentral describes it as "bacterial SSU rRNA". It matches the Rfam family "Bacterial small subunit ribosomal RNA", at positions 8 to 812 of the family's 1533-position model. The record is from RNAcentral.